Long non-coding RNA from Orbicella faveolata, 1660 nucleotides. Lineage: Eukaryota; Metazoa; Cnidaria; Anthozoa; Scleractinia; Merulinidae. The record is from RefSeq and is a predicted model, not a curated record.
CCGGCAGCUUGUACAGACCAAAGUACUACUGAUGCCGUCGCUCGCCAGUCGAUUCCAGCUCCAAGCACCAAAAAUGACCAAAAAGGAGAGAAGAAAUCUAUUGUCAAACUUCCUCCGAAAGUUCAUGUUAGAUCCGAGGCACCCUACCCACACUUGAAAAAGUUUUUCCGCGCGGGGCCUGGGCUUGAUGAUACAGAAAUUGAAGUAAUUGGUCACGUGACAAAGAAGAAGAAACGAAGCGAAACGAAGAAGAAAAAGAAGAGAAAGCGACAUCUUAGUGAAUAGAAGAAAAAAACAACACACAAUGCACUUUAGGACUCCAGAACUUCAAAAUUUCAUUUAAAAUUUGACGAAAGACACGAUAACAAUUGCCGUGUUUAUUCUAUUAUGUACAAAACUUAACGGAGGAUUUCGUGCCAAAGCAUCAAAUUAAAGUGGAACUUCUUUAAAACGGCCACGAAAAUCAAGACGUACAACUCACUAAGCUUUCGUUCGUGGCGUAGAACGUGGCUUUUAUCAUAAAGCGAAUAUAUUUACGAGGUAAAUAUAGGUAAAAGGCGGGAUUUUCACUGUAGUACCAAAGUAGGUCGUAUCUGUAGGUCCAAUGGGUAGGUUAUGUUUCAUUGACGUCGCCUUAAAGAAAUCUUUGGUUUCUUUCGUAUAGACUAAGAAGCCUUUUAUUUCAUCCCGUUAUUUUCUCAGUAUUUGUCCAAAGUGGUGUAGGGGACCAGGACUCUCUCCCACAAAAAUACAGGGGCCUUGCUGGGCUGCAAUGCAUGAAAAGUAGCGCCCCAGAAAAACAGAAUACAAUGAAUGGCGGAAACUUUCUUGAAUUAUAACAGCCACGCCUAUAGUGAUAUUGUAUUAUUUAUAAUUGAAUGGGAUUGUUUAAUCAUGAACUACAAAACUGCGAAGGAAAUGAUGACAAAAACGACCUUUUUGUUUUCGGAGAGUGCCCAACCAAUCAAUAUAUAUAAAGUAACGAAGACAAGGGAGAAUUUUUCUGUAUUUCAUAAAUUGGUCAGCGGUGGCAUAAAAAAAAAAGCUUUUGACGUAAAUGAUUGACAUUUGUGUAAAGCCGUCUCCUAGGAAACAAAUUGAAACGCGCCGUAGACGUUACAAGAAACUGUAAUAUUGUUUCAAGUCGCAAGACAGAAUUAUUUUUCUUUUAUCGUUAGUUAUUCGUUUUACUAGUAUUAACACAACUUACCGUAGCCUUAGGCCCGGUCUAAGGCUUAAAAAAAUGUUAUAUAAAUUUUAUUUUGACCACGUAGUUUUCAAUGGUGAGGAAUAGCCGCAGUCGCAGCACGUGUGCCGGAUUUUAAUCGUUCAAUGUCGGAAUGAAAAGAAAAGCAAACCAAACUUCUUCGUUUUUUCCUUGUAAAUGGCGAGUGUAAAACUCUUCGCUUUGUAGGUCCGUUUAUUUUUUCUUUCAAACCAUUUGCCUUUCAAAUUGGGAAUUUUCUGAUGUCUCUCUCAGUCCGGCUUAAGACAAUGGUUACAAAGAGGCGAGCCUUUGCAGUCAAACAAAAUCGCACGUAACAAAUCAGUAAUAACAUGUAUCGUUUUGUAACAUUAUGCAGACGAUUGUACUGUUGUAAAACACACGCAUGGAUCAUAGAUUAUUUUUGAUGUGAAAAUAAACAUUAAAUAUUCAGUA